RNAcentral lists this transfer RNA (73 nucleotides) under Vicugna pacos (alpaca). RNAcentral describes it as "tRNA-Ala (AGC) (tRNA-Ala-AGC-476-1)". It matches the Rfam family "tRNA". Rfam says of the family: Transfer RNA (tRNA) molecules are approximately 80 nucleotides in length. The record is from RNAcentral. Lineage: Eukaryota; Metazoa; Chordata; Mammalia; Artiodactyla; Camelidae.
GGAGGGUAUAGCUCAGUGGUAGAGUGCGUGCUUAGCAUGCAUGAGGUCCUGGGUUCAAUCCCCAGUACUUCCA